CCAGCAGCCGCGGUAAUACGUAGGGGGCGAGCGUUGUCCGGAGUUACUGGGCGUAAAGGGCAUGCAGGCGGUCGGACGCGUUUUGUGUGACAGCGCCUGGCUAAACCAGGCGAGCAUACGAAAGACGGUCUGACUUGAGGGCUCGAGAGGAACACGGAAUUCCUGGUGUAGCGGUGAAAUGCGUAGAUAUCAGGAGGAACACCUGCGGUGUAGACAGCUUUCUGGACCACGACUGACGCUGAGACACGAAAGCGUGGGUAGCAAACAGGAUUAGAUACCCUGGUA
RNAcentral lists this ribosomal RNA (285 nucleotides) under uncultured Chloroflexota bacterium. RNAcentral's name for it is "uncultured Chloroflexi bacterium partial 16S ribosomal RNA". It matches the Rfam family "Bacterial small subunit ribosomal RNA", at positions 508 to 792 of the family's 1533-position model. The record is from RNAcentral. Lineage: Bacteria; Bacillati; Chloroflexota.